GUGAAAUAUAAUAUUCAAAAGACAUGUUUCAGUACCAUUUCCAUUUUUCAGCUGAAUUAUCUUCCUACAAAUUCGGGUUCAAUUCAUCUUACUGAGAUAAAAAGAAGAAAUGAUUCUUAGUAGACAUUUCUAUUUAUGCUUCAUUCAGAGCACAAACUUAAAAGGUCUAAAAUAGAGAAAUGACGCGUUUCUAGAACAGAAACUAGGAAUUAUUCUUGCCGUAGCUCAAUGCUAGUCAGUCAGAUAGCAGUAAGAGCUAUCCAAUUUCAUGCAUUGUGGUUUCUAUCUUGUUG
RNAcentral lists this unclassified non-coding RNA (293 nucleotides) under Hevea brasiliensis (rubber tree). The record is from RNAcentral. Lineage: Eukaryota; Viridiplantae; Streptophyta; Magnoliopsida; Malpighiales; Euphorbiaceae.